AGCGAGCGCUGGCGGCAGGCUUAACACAUGCAAGUCGAACGGGCACUUCGGUGUCAGAGGCAGACGGGUGAGUAACACGUGGGAACGUACCUUUUGGUUCGGAACAACUGAGGGAAACUUCAGCUAAUACCGGAUAAGCCCUUACGGGGAAAGAUUUAUCGCCGAAAGGUCGGCCCGCGUCUGAUUAGCUAGUUGGUAGGGUAAUGGCCUACCAAGGCGACGAUCGGUAGCUGGUCUGAGAGGAUGAUCAGCCACAUUGGGACUGAGACACGGCCCAAACUCCUACGGGAGGCAGCAGUGGGGAAUAUUGGACAAUGGGGGCAACCCUGAUCCAGCCAUGCCGCGUGAGUGAUGAAGGCCCUAGGGUUGUAAAGCUCUUUUGUGCGGGAAGAUAAUGACGGUACCGCAAGAAUAAGCCCCGGCUAACUUCGUGCCAGCAGCCGCCGUAA
This 449-nucleotide ribosomal RNA is filed under the name uncultured bacterium. RNAcentral describes it as "partial 16S ribosomal RNA". It matches the Rfam family "Bacterial small subunit ribosomal RNA", at positions 29 to 523 of the family's 1533-position model. The record is from RNAcentral.